GUGGGGAAUCUUGCGCAAUGGGCGAAAGCCUGACGCAGCCAUGCCGCGUGAAUGAUGAAGGUCUUAGGAUUGUAAAAUUCUUUCACCGGGGACGAUAAUGACGGUACCCGGAGAAGAAGCCCCGGCUAACUUCGUGCCAGCAGCCGCGGUAAUACGAAGGGGGCUAGCGUUGCUCGGAAUUACUGGGCGUAAAGGGCGCGUAGGCGGAUCGUUAAGUCAGGGGUGAAAUCCCAGAGCUCAACUCUGGAACUGCCCUUGAUACUGGCGAUCUUGAGUGUGAGAGAGGUAUGUGGAACUCCGAGUGUAGAGGUGAAAUUCGUAGAUAUUCGGAAGAACACCAGUGGCGAAGGCGACAUACUGGCUCAUUACUGACGCUGAGGCGCGAAAGCGUGGGGAGCAAACAGGAUUAGAAACCCUGGUAGUCC
Molecule: ribosomal RNA, 425 nt
Filed under: uncultured bacterium
Lineage: Bacteria
Description: partial 16S ribosomal RNA
Rfam family: Bacterial small subunit ribosomal RNA
Source: RNAcentral